AAAAUGAGCAAAGUGCAUACCGCAUAGACUUUUAAAAAACCCCGAACUGGCUGUUGUAAAACAAUAUAAAUAAGAAAAUGACGGCUUAAUCUAUGAACAAAAAAUGAACGAAAAAAGUUAACAAAUCAACAAACGACAACCACUGAAUUAGUCUCCUCACUUGUAACAGGUACAGUUUGUGACACUACAACAUGAGAAAAAA
This 202-nucleotide long non-coding RNA is filed under the name Mytilus galloprovincialis (Mediterranean mussel). The record is from RNAcentral. Lineage: Eukaryota; Metazoa; Mollusca; Bivalvia; Mytilida; Mytilidae.